This 264-nucleotide unclassified non-coding RNA is filed under the name Hevea brasiliensis (rubber tree). Lineage: Eukaryota; Viridiplantae; Streptophyta; Magnoliopsida; Malpighiales; Euphorbiaceae. The record is from RNAcentral.
GGAGCUUGCUUGUCUCAGUUGCACGCACCACCCAGAGAAAACGCAGGCCGCUGUUCUGGAGAGCCCUUGCAAUUUCUUCUGUCUGCUCCACUGUCGAGACGGACAUGCUACCAAAGGAAACAUAGACUACUGAGUUCAGAGGCUGGGAGUUUAGCCAUGUCAUGUAGGGCCCGGUGUCUAGGGUGUAGAGGUUGAAACCAUAACCACUAUCUGAUGGGAUCUGGUUAUCCAGAUAAGCAGAUGGGACUGUCGGGCCGAUGGUUG